AGCGCCCCCGCCCCUGGUCCAGAGGCGAGCAGAGAUUGGCAGAAGGCCCCUCACACACCCCAGAACCCCGAGUCUCUAACUCUUGGAAAGGAAGCAACACAGAUGCAGGCUUGGGGGUCUCGGGGAGGAGCUCUCAAAGAGGACUUGAGACGCUGAAUGGUCCUGCCCGAGGGCUAAUCUCAGUGCCUCAUUCUGCAACGCAAACUCAAGUCUCCGUGCUCUCUCCUUAGGGAGAAAAUCAGACCAAGCUUGGCCUAGCGGAUCCACUCUCCUCACUGCCUGCCACUGUGAUCAACCUAAGAUCUGUGUGUAGUGAGUGCCUCUGAGCCAGGCGCGCCUCGGAACACAGUGGGUGCCAGAGCAAACCCAGAUCUCCUCAUGCUCCGUUCUCAUGAAGUUUAUAUCCUAGUGGAAAAGGAGAUGCGGAACAAAUGUAUGAAAUAAUGGAGGUGGUAAGUGCUG
Molecule: non-coding RNA, 462 nt
Organism: Odocoileus virginianus texanus
Lineage: Eukaryota; Metazoa; Chordata; Mammalia; Artiodactyla; Cervidae
Source: RefSeq, a predicted model, not a curated record